GGUAACGGCUCACCAAGGCGACGAUGCGUAGCCGACCUGAGAGGGUGAUCGGCCACACUGGGACUGAGACACGGCCCAGACUCCUACGGGAGGCAGCAGUAGGGAAUCUUCCGCAAUGGACGAAAGUCUGACGGAGCAACGCCGCGUGAGUGAUGAAGGUUUUCGGAUCGUAAAGCUCUGUUGUUAGGGAAGAACAAGUGCAAGAGUAACUGCUUGCACCUUGACGGUACCUAACCAGAAAGCCACGGCUAACUACGUGCCAGCAGCCGCGGUAAUACGUAGGUGGCAAGCGUUGUCCGGAAUUAUUGGGCGUAAAGGGCUCGCAGGCGGUUUCUUAAGUCUGAUGUGAAAGCCCCCGGCUCAACCGGGGAGGGUCAUUGGAAACUGGGAAACUUGAGUGCAGAAGAGGAGAGUGGAAUUCCACGUGUAGCGGUGAAAUGCGUAGAGAUGUGGAGGAACACCAGUGGCGAAGGCGACUCUCUGGUCUGUAACUGACGCUGAGGAGCGAAAGCGUGGGGAGCGAACAGGAUUAGAUACCCUGGUAGUCCACGCCGUAAACGAUGAGUGCUAAGUGUUAGGGGGUUUCCGCCCCUUAGUGCUGCAGCUAACGCAUUAAGCACUCCGCCUGGGGAGUACGGUCGCAAGACUGAAACUCAAAGGAAUUGACGGGGGCCCGCACAAGCGGUGGAGCAUGUGGUUUAAUUCGAAGCAACGCGAAGAACCUUACCAGGUCUUGACAUCCUCUGACAACCCUAGAGAUAGGGCUUUCCCUUCGGGGACAGAGUGACAGGUGGUGCAUGGUUGUCGUCAGCUCGUGUCGUGAGAUGUUGGGUUAAGUCCCGCAACGAGCGCAACCCUUGAUCUUAGUUGCCAGCAUUCAGUUGGGCACUCUAAGGUGACUGCCGGUGACAAACCGGAGGAAGGUGGGGAUGACGUCAAAUCAUCAUGCCCCUUAUGACCUGGGCUACACACGUGCUACAAUGGACAGAACAAAGGGCUGCGAGACCGCAAGGUUUAGCCAAUCCCACAAAUCUGUUCUCAGUUCGGAUCGCAGUCUGCACUCGACUGCGUGAAGCUGGAAUCGCUAGUAAUCGCGGAUCAGCAUGCCGCGGUGAAUACGUUCCAGGCUGUGUACACAUCGCCCAU
This 1146-nucleotide ribosomal RNA is filed under the name Bacillus altitudinis. Its description in RNAcentral is "bacterial SSU rRNA". It matches the Rfam family "Bacterial small subunit ribosomal RNA", at positions 256 to 1397 of the family's 1533-position model. Lineage: Bacteria; Bacillati; Bacillota; Bacilli; Caryophanales; Bacillaceae. The record is from RNAcentral.